GCAGGUCUUGGGUUUUCCC
RNAcentral lists this non-coding RNA (19 nucleotides) under Mus musculus (house mouse). Lineage: Eukaryota; Metazoa; Chordata; Mammalia; Rodentia; Muridae. The record is from RNAcentral.